UACGGAGGGUGCGAGCGUUGUCCGGAAUCAUUGGGCGUAAAGGGCGCGUAGGUGGCCCGGUCAGUUCGUGGUGAAAGCGCGGGGCUCAACCCUGCGUCGGCCAUGAAUACUGCCGCGGCUGGAGCACUGUAGAGGCAGGCGGAAUUCCGGGUGUAGCGGUGGAAUGCGUAGAGAUCCGGAAGAACACCGGUGGCGAAGGCGGC
Molecule: ribosomal RNA, 203 nt
Filed under: uncultured bacterium
Lineage: Bacteria
Description: partial 16S ribosomal RNA
Rfam family: Bacterial small subunit ribosomal RNA
Source: RNAcentral